AUUGAACGCUGGCGGCAGGCCUAACACAUGCAAGUCGAGCGGAUGAAGGGAGCUUGCUCCUGGAUUCAGCGGCGGACGGGUGAGUAAUGCCUAGGAAUCUGCCUGGUAGUGGGGGAUAACGUCCGGAAACGGGCGCUAAUACCGCAUACGUCCUGAGGGAGAAAGUGGGGGAUCUUCGGACCUCACGCUAUCAGAUGAGCCUAGGUCGGAUUAGCUAGUUGGUGGGGUAAAGGCCUACCAAGGCGACGAUCCGUAACUGGUCUGAGAGGAUGAUCAGUCACACUAGAACGGAGACACGGUCCAGACGCCUACGGGAGGCAGCAGUGGGGAAUAUGGGACAGUAGGCGAAAGCAUGAUCCAGCCAGGCCGCGUGUGUGAAAGAGGUCUUCGGAGUGUAAAGCACGUUAAGUUGGGAGGAAGGGCAGUAAGUUAAUACCUUGCUGGUUUGACGUUACCAACAGAAGAAGCACCGGCUAACUUCGUG
RNAcentral lists this ribosomal RNA (484 nucleotides) under uncultured bacterium. Its description in RNAcentral is "partial 16S ribosomal RNA". It matches the Rfam family "Bacterial small subunit ribosomal RNA", at positions 30 to 507 of the family's 1533-position model. The record is from RNAcentral.